CGGCGGACGGGUGAGUAACGCGUGGGUGACCUGCCCCAUACCGGGGGAUAACAGCUGGAAACGGCUGCUAAUACCGCAUAAGACCACGGUACCGCAUGGUACAGUGGUAAAAACUCCGGUGGUAUGAGAUGGACCCGCGUCUGAUUAGGUAGUUGGUGGGGUAACGGCCUACCAAGCCGACGAUCAGUAGCCGACCUGAGAGGGUGACCGGCCACAUUGGGACUGAGACACGGCCCAG
This 238-nucleotide ribosomal RNA is filed under the name uncultured bacterium. Its description in RNAcentral is "partial 16S ribosomal RNA". It matches the Rfam family "Bacterial small subunit ribosomal RNA", at positions 96 to 334 of the family's 1533-position model. The record is from RNAcentral.